RNAcentral lists this ribosomal RNA (436 nucleotides) under uncultured Blautia sp. Its description in RNAcentral is "partial 16S ribosomal RNA". It matches the Rfam family "Bacterial small subunit ribosomal RNA", at positions 341 to 792 of the family's 1533-position model. The record is from RNAcentral. Lineage: Bacteria; Bacillati; Bacillota; Clostridia; Lachnospirales; Lachnospiraceae.
ACGGGAGGCAGCAGUGGGGAAUAUUGGGCAAUGGGGGAAACCCUGACCCAGCAACGCCGCGUGAAGGAAGAAGGCCCUCGGGUUGUAAACUUCUUUUACCAGGGACGAACAAAUGACGGUACCUGGAGAAAAAGCAACGGCUAACUACGUGCCAGCAGCCGCGGUAAUACGUAGGUUGCAAGCGUUGUCCGGAUUUACUGGGUGUAAAGGGAGCGUAGACGGUCUGGCAAGUCUGAUGUGAAAGGCAGGGGCUCAACUCCUGGACUGCAUUGGAAACUGUCAGUCUUGAGUGUCGGAGAGGUAAGCGGAAUUCCUAGUGUAGCGGUGAAAUGCGUAGAUAUUAGGAGGAACACCAGUGGCGAAGGCGGCUUACUGGACGAUAACUGACGUUGAGGCUCGAAAGCGUGGGGAGCAAACAGGAUUAGAUACCCUGGUA